This 777-nucleotide ribosomal RNA is filed under the name uncultured Enterobacteriaceae bacterium. Its description in RNAcentral is "bacterial SSU rRNA". It matches the Rfam family "Bacterial small subunit ribosomal RNA", at positions 721 to 1502 of the family's 1533-position model. Lineage: Bacteria; Pseudomonadati; Pseudomonadota; Gammaproteobacteria; Enterobacterales; Enterobacteriaceae. The record is from RNAcentral.
GCGGCCCCUGGACAAGACUGACGCUCAGGUGCGAAGCGUGGGGAGCAAACAGGAUUAGAUACCUGGUAGUCCACGCCGUAAACGAUGUCGACUUGGAGGUUGUGCCCUUGAGGCGUGGCUUCCGGAGCUAACGCGUUAAGUCGACCGCCUGGGGAGUACGGCCGCAAGGUUAAAACUCAAAUGAAUUGACGGGGGCCCGCACAAGCGGUGGAGCAUGUGGUUUAAUUCGAUGCAACGCGAAGAACCUUACCUACUCUUGACAUCCAGAGAACUUUCCAGAGAUGGAAGGGUGCCUUCGGGAACUCUGAGACAGGUGCUGCAUGGCUGUCGUCAGCUCGUGUUGUGAAAUGUUGGGUUAAGUCCCGCAACGAGCGCAACCCUUAUCCUUUGUUGCCAGCGGUUCGGCCGGGAACUCAAAGGAGACUGCCAGUGAUAAACUGGAGGAAGGUGGGGAUGACGUCAAGUCAUCAUGGCCCUUACGAGUAGGGCUACACACGUGCUACAAUGGCAUAUACAAAGAGAAGCGACCUCGCGAGAGCAAGCGGACCUCAUAAAGUAUGUCGUAGUCCGGAUCGGAGUCUGCAACUCGACUCCGUGAAGUCGGAAUCGCUAGUAAUCGUAGAUCAGAAUGCUACGGUGAAUACGUUCCUGGGCCUUGUACACACCGCCCGUCACACCAUGGGAGUGGGUUGCAAAAGAAGUAGGUAGCUUAACCUUCGGGAGGGCGCUUACCACUUUGUGAUUCAUGACUGGGGUGAAGUCGUAACAAGGUAACCA